RNAcentral lists this ribosomal RNA (1480 nucleotides) under metagenome. Its description in RNAcentral is "bacterial SSU rRNA". It matches the Rfam family "Bacterial small subunit ribosomal RNA". The record is from RNAcentral.
AGAGUUUGAUCAUGGCUCAGGAUGAACGCUAGCGACAGGCCUAACACAUACAAGUCGAGGGGUAACAGGGAAGCUUGCUUCCGCUGACGACCGGCGCACGGGUGCGUAACGCGUAUGCAACCUACCUCAUACAGUGGGAUAGCCCGAAGAAAUUCGGAUUAAUACCACAUAACAUUAUGAUAUCACAUGUUAUUAUAAUUAAAACUCCGGUGGUAUGAGAUGGGCAUGCGUGACAUUAGAUAGUUGGUGAGGUAACGGCUCACCAAGUCAGCGAUGUCUAGGGGUUCUGAGAGGAAGGUCCCCCACACUGGUACUGAGACACGGACCAGACUCCUACGGGAGGCAGCAGUGAGGAAUAUUGGUCAAUGGACGCAAGUCUGAACCAGCCAUGUCGCGUGCAGGACGACUGCCCUAUGGGUUGUAAACUGCUUUUUUACGGGAAGAAAUAUGUCUACGUGUAGACAUUUGCCGGUACCGUAGGAAUAAGGAUCGGCUAACUCCGUGCCAGCAGCCGCGGUAAUACGGAGGAUCCGAGCGUUAUCCGGAUUUAUUGGGUUUAAAGGGUGCGUAGGCGGAAUAAUAAGUCAGAGGUGAAAGUCUGCAGCCCAACUGUAGAAUUGCCUUUGAAACUGUUAUUCUUGAGUACAAUCGAGGUAGGCGGAAUGUGAUGUGUAGCGGUGAAAUGCUUAGAUAUGUCACAGAACACCGAUUGCGAAGGCAGCUUACUAGAAUGUAACUGACGCUGAUGCACGAAAGCGUGGGUAUCGAACAGGAUUAGAUACCCUGGUAGUCCACGCCGUAAACGAUGAUAACUAGCUGUUUGCGAUACACAGUAAGCGGCAAAGCGAAAGCAUUAAGUUAUCCACCUGGGGAGUACGUUGGCAACGAUGAAACUCAAAGGAAUUGACGGGGGCCCGCACAAGCGGUGGAACAUGUGGUUUAAUUCGAUGAUACGCGAGGAACCUUACCUGGGCUUAAAUGGGAGCUGCAUGAUUUAGAGAUAGAUCUUUCUUCGGACUGCUUUCAAGGUGCUGCAUGGUUGUCGUCAGCUCGUGCCGUGAGGUGUCGGGUUAAGUCCCAUAACGAGCGCAACCCCUAUCGUUAGUUGCCAUCAGGUUAAGCUGGGGACUCUAACGAGACUGCCGGUGUAAACCGCGAGGAAGGUGGGGAUGACGUCAAAUCAGCACGGCCCUUACGUCCAGGGCUACACACGUGUUACAAUGGCCGGUACAAAGGGCAGCUACCCCGCGAGGGGAUGCGAAUCUCAAAAACCGGUCUCAGUUCGGAUCGAAGUCUGCAACCCAACUUCGUGAAGCUGGAAUCGCUAGUAAUCGCAUAUCAGCCAUGAUGCGGUGAAUACGUUCCCGGGCCUUGUACACACCGCCCGUCAAGCCAUGGAAGCCGGGGGUACCUGAAGUCUGUAACCGCAAGGAGCGGCCUAGGGUAAAACUGGUAACUGGGGCUAAGUCGUAACAAGGUA